Molecule: non-coding RNA, 2283 nt
Organism: Homo sapiens (human)
Lineage: Eukaryota; Metazoa; Chordata; Mammalia; Primates; Hominidae
Source: RefSeq, a predicted model, not a curated record
AUUCCUAGGCAACAGAGCAAGAUCCUGUCUCUGAAAAAAAAAAAAAUGCCAUCCAGACGGCAUCCUGCUGCAUGCAGCUGGAAGAUGCAGCCCCUUUUAUUUUCUGGGAGGCAACCAUAGGAAAACAAAGUGUGAGUGGCCAUAAUUUACUGGGCUCCUGGGUAAAUUUGUAUUUCAUUCUGAUUAUUGAAUGUGUCGCCUAAUUGCAGCUAUAAAAAGGAAUAGUCCAUCUUCCCCAUGAAAGCCCAUUGCUGGCUGAUUGUUGUUUAAUUAGUUGAUUCCAGUGGUCGAGGGGUGAGUUUGGAAUUACAAUUACAACUCCUAUUAUUUCAGGGAGAUUGUUGAAUUAAUUAGUAGGACAAUAGGAUUCCUCAUAGUUGACAUCUUAAGAAUCCACAAUGAUAACUUUAAAAUUGGUUGCAAACAUGAAAAUAGGUGAUAGAUUUGUCUUCUCUGCCAGGUGACGCUAGACUUCAGGAAGACCCCCCAUUUCUGCUCCCCUCCUGGGCUUGGAGAAGAGUACAGCUGCUCUUGACUGGUGGGACCUUUUGCUGGCUAGGGGUGAUGGGAGAAGCAAGAGAGGGAUCCACACACCUGCGCUUAGCUUUCUAUGACCUGGGCGGAUGGAGGCCAAAGGAGUCACCAGAAGCAUCUUCUCCGCUGGAUAUAAAAGAGAAAUAUUGCGCUUUAGCUGGCUUCAGCAAGAAAGGAAAGAUUCUGUCCUCACCUUGGUGCAUAUGUGGAGAGGCGGGGCAGGCACAGUGCUGUCCUGAACUUGCAUCCUGUGGAGUUGCUGUGGUCUAGAGACAUGUGGAGCAUGGGGUGGAGGAGAGCCAGGUGGGUUUCUGAGGGGGUGAGUGGACUGUGGCCUGAGAGGGGUGUGUGGAGGGCAGAAGUCCUAUGGGAAGAGUGGGAUGAUGGAGAUCUCUUGGGUUAGAAGGGGCUUCUUCUGGUUCUGAAGGCAGUUGCCCAAUAAAGGUGGAUGGGAGCCCAUUCCAGACACCAUCUCGGGGGGUUCGUCUUUUCCUUUUUCUCCACUAGCCUCUUACCUGAUCUUCCAGGGCUAGGUGUCCUUCAGGGGCCAAAGGGGCUGGGGAGUUUCUUGGAAGGCAGAUCAUUAAGAUUUAAUGGGACAUUUCCUGCCAGGCAGAGGGAUUGUAAAAUGCAGCUAAUUUAGAGAGCCAGGGGAUCACAGAGUCAUUUUGCCUUUCGUUGGGAAAGGCCAGACAUGAAAUUAUGCCAAUCCCUGCCCUCCUGUCUUCAGUCCUCCCCAAUUAUACCACUGGGCAGCUGCUGAGCUGGCCCAGAGUAUCUGCUGGACAGAGCCCUUCCCUGCUGGCGGCAGGGGCAGGUGGGUGUUUAGCUGGCUGAGGGCUUAGUGAGGAAAGUGGUGUUGGAGCAGCAUCUACGCAGCCACAAGCCCUUGUGCAGUGCUCGGAUUUCUCAGCUCGGCCCCAGGACCAUAGCCACAGCCCAGACUUCCUUUCCUCCAUCCCCUGUAGUGGCUUCUCAGAGCCUUGGUCUGGCAGGGUCCUUUCCUUUCAGCAGAGUGAGUUGGACAGUUGAAGGAAGUGAGUUGGUAAAGGGGUAGUGGCAAUUGUGUGUCUGUGUGUGUGCAUGUGUGUGCAUGCGUGAGACAGAGACAUAGAGAUGAACAGAGAGACAAAGGCAGGGAGAAGGAGAGAAACACGACCAGAGGGCAGGGAAGUAGAAGGGCACCUGUUGCCUCCCCUGGGGCUGGGCUGUUUGGUUGAAGUUGAUCUCAGCUGUGUGUCUUUACCCAUAGGUGACAGGAAAUGAGAACAUGGAGGGAUAGAUGUGGGCACAGCCUAGGGAGAGGAAAGGGGAGGUGAGAAGUUACAACAGCAGUGGGAUCCUUUGGGGCCCUUGGGCUGAGAUGCUGGAUCAGUGCUGCCCAAGAAGCUGGAGUUUAGAGCUGCUCCUAGGUGUGCAAGGGAAAUAGCCAUAGAUGUGGACACCAAGAGGUUCUGCCACACACAACAUGCAUGACCUCUGUGAGGUCCCAUAAAAAUGAGGAUACCAUUGCAACCUUACACGUAACACAGCUGAAGCUUCUAGAACAUACAGGGCAUCCAGUAAGUCCAUGUUCCACCUUCCCUCCCUUCCAUAGAGGGGGAUACACGGAUGCUUAGUACAGUGCCAGACACAUGCUUGGCACUCAGUACAACUUGGUGGAAUUGGAUUCCGAAUCCCAACAGCCACUCAGCCACUGCCCCUCGGCCUUGGGAGCUGGAGUCAGGCAGAGCUGAGGGUUGCACCCAG